AACGAACGCUGGCGGCAGGCUUAACACAUGCAAGUCGAGCGCGUAGCAAUACGAGCGGCAGACGGGUGAGUAACACGUGGGAAUCUACCCAUCACUGGGGAAUAACUCAGGGAAACUUGUGCUAAUACCCUAUACGACCGAGAGGUGAAAGAUUUAUCGGUGAUGGAUGAGCCCGCGUUGGAUUAGCUAGUUGGUGGGGUAAAGGCCUACCAAGGCGACGAUCCAUAGCUGGUCUGAGAGGAUGAUCAGCCACACUGGGACUGAGACACGGCCCAGACUCCUACGGGAGGCAGCAGUGGGGAAUAUUGGACAAUGGGCGCAAGCCUGAUCCAGCCAUGCCGCGUGAGUGAUGAAGGUCUUAGGAUUGUAAAGCUCUUCCACCGGUGAAGAUAAUGACGGUAACCGGAGAAGAAGCCCCGGCUAACUUCGUGCCAGCCGCCGCGGUAA
This 447-nucleotide ribosomal RNA is filed under the name uncultured bacterium. RNAcentral describes it as "partial 16S ribosomal RNA". It matches the Rfam family "Bacterial small subunit ribosomal RNA", at positions 29 to 523 of the family's 1533-position model. The record is from RNAcentral.